CGCGUUGGCCGCACCGCGGCGACACUGCAGCGGCAAGGGUGUUACGUCACGUAGAAAUGACGUGCUAAUGGUUAAUGGCUUCCAUUCGGUCGAGCUAGGCUUUUAUGAGCGAGCCAGAAUCCAAUCCAAAGAAAACACAUGAGAUAUGAUGCGAUCGGCCGGUAGAAUCAUGAAAAUAUGAUCGCCUGAGCGCCAUACGAUCGCGAUAGAGAUUAAUAUUUGACCGGAGACGGAUCGGUCGUCCGCGAAUUACGUGCUGAAAACUGCUUUGCACGAAGAGGAACGACGUAACCGUUAUACAUUCUCACAUCGUCCCUACGUACUGGUUUCGGACCUGAUGCAAGGAACAUCGAGGUUCGCCGCGACGUUGCAGGACAUACAUCGCACUAGGUGACAUGCCUAGCACUCGUGAUAUUGAACGAGCCGAACGCAAUGGGAGAUUUCGUUCACGAAGAAGAGACAGCGCGAGCAGUGACGUGAACCGGCAGCACAGCUUUGACGGUAUCGACAAGCGACACAGGAGACAUGGCAAAAGUAAGAGCUCCGGAAAGAAGAAGAAGAAACGUUCGCGUGACAAGUCACUCGAAACAAUUCCAACUGUAGCUUCAUCCGUAGUGAAACCAUUAGUUGAAUAUUCCGAUGUGAGUAGCGAAGAUCUUUCGGAGCCCGAAGCGGGAGAGAUACAAUCGGAGGACAGUCGCGCUAAUAGUUAUACGGACGGAGAAGUACCUGAAUCGUUCCUUCAAAGACGGUAUUAUGGCGGUAGCCCGGUCCGCACUCUUGGAGCGUCGCCUAUCAGCCUGUCUCCGUCACCGUCGACUCAACAUCGACACUCCAAUAGACGGUACUCGUUGUCGAACGAGCAACAACAACAAUCGGCGACGAUGCAUGGCGCGACGCCUGAAUACGAAGAGGAAUCGAGACGGUAUGCUCGACGAAAGGAGAAGAAGCAUAAGCGCGAGAAAAAGAAGAAAAGAAGUUCGAGUCCGUCGUCGAAUUCGGGAAAGAAGAAGAAGAGAAAAUCCAAGAGGCAUUCUCACAGCAUGAGCCCGCAUCGCGCGGUCACCGAGGAAAUCGGAGGAAUUCCAAGUCCAAAUCGCGAGAAGCAGCUGCGAGAAUCAGCUAUCGCUUCCAUUAAUUGGUCAGAAUCGCCACCGUUGCCGCUCAAAGACAACAUGUCGCCCAUUUCACCGGCUACGCCGCGUGAACAAAGAUGCCACAGUGACGACCUAGUGGAACUAGAAAUGUCGCGGCAGGUAUCUCGAAAUGUCACUCCGCCGUCUCUCUCGGCGACGCGUGGCCAAGUCGAGUCGCCGCACACGCCUCUAAUGCCUCCAUGCGCUACGACGCCGGAGAAUAAGACUUGCCCAGUUGCCAUACCCAAGCACUGCAGCCCCGAUCGACAGAAACGUAGUCUCAGUCCCAUCCACGUGACGCGCCCUCGUCCCAGCGUUAGUCCCGGACCUGUGGGGAUAAAUCGCAGAAGACCGCACAGCCCGAGUCCACCAUCGAGACGAAGAGAUCACAGUCCACCUACGCGAAGAAGAGACUUUAGCCCUACGCCGGUGCUCCACAGACUGAGGCAUAGCCCGAGCCCGGCCACUGUCAGACGGCGAGAGUUUAGUCCGAGUCCCGGAAGCAGCCACAGGCGACGAACCGACAGCGGAAUUAUCUCCCCUAAACGUAGAAGACGAGACGAGCCAUCCGAUCGACGUAGUCACCGGGUUCACGACAAGGAUAGGAGGGACAAGCGAAAAUCAAGAUCGACUAGGAGUCCCACUGGAAGCAGAUUACAUUUGCCUUUGUCUCGAUCGCGAUCACGCAGUCCGGCAAGAUGGCGAAAACUAUCUCGCUCGAGAUCGCGUUCGCGGCCCAGAAGGAGUCGCACUCCGAAAAGAUCGCGCUCGCCCAGCAAAUCUCGCAAGACUUCGAGAAAACUCAAAUCGAAGAGUCCGCGUCCCAGAAUACCUUCUCCUUCUCCUCACAGGGCUCGUGCUAGAAGUCCAUCGAGCAUCACCGCUCGAAACCUCCGAGUCCAAGCAAAGAUCAGCGAGACUAGUCUUUUCGCGGAACUCGUCAAAGACCGUAACAUGAGGGAAUUGGCGUUUAAGAAGUUACAAGCCGCAAAGGAAAAAGUCGGGAAUCAAGAUGAGGUGCAAAUCAUAGAGAGCAUCGACGAGAAAGACGGUGAUGGUAACGCGAUCUCCGAAAAUAAAGUUUCCACUGACAAUAAGGACAGAUCUACAAAUCACAAGGAGCAGCACGUGAAAGCUGGCGAUAACGUGGUUGAUGUCACCGAUAUUCCCGUUCCGACGAGCGACGACAGUGCUGUAACGUGCAAAACGCCACCGUUACCACCAACAGGUCAACCAAUCGGUGUUCCAUUACCUAAUCCGAUAUCCGCUGCGAUGAAUCCACUCGUUUCUCACUCAAGCAUUGUACAUACCUCGCCCAAUCCACCGUCGAUAAUGCCCAACAGUUGUCCGAUCGUGUCGCAUAGCCCAAAUUUCUCGGCUCCCGCCCCUGGAGUACAACCACAACAACCACCACCGCCGCCACCGCCGCCGCCACCGCCACUGCCACAAUCUGCUGAAUCCAUGUCGACGCAAGUGUCCGCCCCUUUGCCUAUGUCGGUGCCGCCAAUUCCACCUACACCAAUUUUACCAAAUAUGUCUGUCCCACCACCACCGAUUCCCGUUCCAGCGCCUAAUACUAUCAUGUCCAAGUUUAAUCCACCAAAUAAUCUUGUACCACUUAAAUCUGUGGAUCCUCCCAAGCCUCCCAUAGUAACAUUCACGACCAAAAGUUUAAAGAGAUUGCCGUUGCCACCUGGCAUUAACCAAAAUGAUUUAGAAAGCAUAGAUUCCCCCCCAAGCCGUUCUCCAAGUCCUCCUAGCAAAGCGCAAUUAAAGGUCCCAGUAUCAUCAACAAAGCCACUGCAAAAAAGGAGUAUCAAGGAUCUGCCAAUGCCGCCAGUCGUACCUGGAUCGGAGGACUUGAGUGGCGAGGACGAUCCAAACGCAACGCCGCCGCGUUUGAAGGUCGAACGAGUGGCACCAAAGCCGAAAUUGAAAAGACCAAAAAUAUUGAAACGCAGAGGAUCGCGAAACUGUCAUACUCCUAUGUCGGCUUCCGGUGGCAAAGAUUGGGGCGAACGAUGCGUUGAUGUGUUCGAGUUUAUUGCGCAGAUUGGAGAGGGUACAUAUGGACAGGUGUACAAGGCAAGAGAUAAACGAUCCGGUGUGAUGGUAGCAUUGAAAAAAGUUCGACUUGAAAACGAGAAAGAAGGCUUUCCUAUUACUGCAGUCAGAGAAAUAAAGAUUCUGCGACAGCUUAAUCACAAAAACAUUGUUAAUCUUAGAGAAAUCGUCACUGAUAAGCAAGACGCCCUGGAUUUUCGCAAGGACAAAGGCUCCUUUUAUCUAGUUUUCGAAUACAUGGACCAUGAUUUGAUGGGUCUGCUGGAAUCCGGUAUGGUGGAUUUCAACGAGAUGAAUAAUGCUAGUAUCAUGAAACAGUUGUUGGAUGGUUUAAAUUAUUGUCACAGCAAAAAUUUUUUGCACCGGGAUAUCAAAUGCUCAAAUAUAUUGAUGAAUAACAAGGGUGAGGUUAAACUGGCUGAUUUUGGAUUGGCACGACUUUAUAACGCAGAGGAUAGACAGAGACCGUACACCAAUAAGGUAAUCACUCUGUGGUAUAGACCUCCUGAACUUUUGCUGGGAGAAGAACGUUAUGGGCCUGCGAUUGAUGUCUGGAGUUGCGGAUGUAUUUUGGGAGAAUUAUUUUCCAAGAAACCUUUAUUUCAGGCCAACGUAGAUCUGAUGCAAUUGGAAAUGAUUUCGAGGGUUUGUGGAACACCAACUCCUGCUGUUUGGCCUUCUGUGAUAAAAUUACCACAUUGGCAUACACUUAAGCCAAAAAAGCAGCAUAGAAGACGUCUGAGGGAGGAUUUUGCGUUUAUGCCAGGAGCAGCCUUGGAUCUCCUGGAUAAAAUGUUAGAAUUGGAUCCUGAGAAACGGAUUACGGCAGCCGAUGCGCUUAAGAGUGCUUGGUUGAAAAACGUUCAGCCCGAACAGAUGCCAGCACCACAACUUCCGACUUGGCAAGAUUGUCAUGAACUUUGGAGCAAAAAGCGGAAGCGCUUGUUACGGGAACAGCAAGAGAGUGUUGCAGCAAAGUUGCCUCCUCUUCUUCCAUAUCCGAAUAAAGGGGGUCCCAACAAGGAUGAUCUAUCAGAUGUCGGGGGGAGAUAAUAUAAUUGGGCUGAAUAAUAGGUGGACAAAUUUUGUAGCACUUGUAAGAAUAUAUAAUAGGUCCUCUAAACGAUUAAA
This 4331-nucleotide unclassified non-coding RNA is filed under the name Monomorium pharaonis (pharaoh ant). RNAcentral describes it as "cyclin-dependent kinase 12, transcript variant X9". Lineage: Eukaryota; Metazoa; Arthropoda; Insecta; Hymenoptera; Formicidae. The record is from RNAcentral.